RNAcentral lists this unclassified non-coding RNA (378 nucleotides) under uncultured Rhodospirillales bacterium. Its description in RNAcentral is "contains 16S-23S intergenic spacer region". The record is from RNAcentral. Lineage: Bacteria; Pseudomonadati; Pseudomonadota; Alphaproteobacteria; Rhodospirillales.
UCCGAUUUAUCAUCGGCAGUCUCGUUAGAGUGCUCAACUAAAUGGUAGCAACUAACAAUAGGGGUUGCGCUCGUUGCGGGACUUAACCCAACAUCUCACGACACGAGCUGACGACGGCCAUGCAACACCUGUAUACACCCGGCCGAACCGAAACAACCUGUUUCCAGGAAGUAUAAUGUAUAUGUCAAGGGCUGGUAAGGUUCCUCGCGUAUCAUCGAAUUAAACAACAUGCUCCACCGCUUGUGCGGGUCCCCGUCAAUUCCUUUGAGUUUUAAUCUUGCGAUCGUAAUCCCCAGGCGGUGUACUUAUCGCGUUAGCUAAGUCACCGAACAGUAAACUGUCCGAUAACGAGUACACAUCGUUUAGGGCGUGGACUAC